UUCAUAGAGAAACUUCAGGAAGAAGGGCUG
RNAcentral lists this non-coding RNA (30 nucleotides) under Rattus norvegicus (Norway rat). Lineage: Eukaryota; Metazoa; Chordata; Mammalia; Rodentia; Muridae. The record is from RNAcentral.